Molecule: long non-coding RNA, 325 nt
Organism: Haemorhous mexicanus (house finch)
Lineage: Eukaryota; Metazoa; Chordata; Aves; Passeriformes; Fringillidae
Exons: 2
Source: RefSeq, a predicted model, not a curated record
GCUUUGUGUUUUCAGCACAACGACAUUCCGAUAUGAUCUAAGAAUCACAGAGACACCCUUCGGUCCCAGGAGGACUGGGGAACAGGUUUGGCUAGAAAAAAAAGUGUUCCUCAUGUGAUGGGCACCCCACCAAUCACACCGCACACUCCUCAGCAAACUGGGCUCUUUAAAGGGCAGCGGAGGUGGGAGAAAAGGGCCUUUCAGCUUUGCAGGUGGGUUGGGAUUUCUGCUGGAAGCAUCACGAGACGAGAGCGACUGGGGAGAAGGAAAUGGAGAAAUUAAAUAUGUUGAAAAUCUGAGUGUUAAAAGAAAAAAAAAGGAAAAA